AGAGUUUAACGGCCGCGGUAUUUUGACCGUGCAAAGGUAGCGCAAUCACUUGUCUUUUAAAUGGAGACCCGUAUGAAUGGCAUCACGAGGGCUUAACUGUCUCCUUUCUCAGGCCAAUGAAAUUGAUCUCUCCGUGCAGAAGCGGGGAUAACUACAUAAGACGAGAAGACCCUAUGGAGCUUUAGACACCCAGGCAGCUCAUGUCAAGCACCCUCGGACAGGAGACUGAACAAGAUGACCCCUGCCCUAAUGUCUUCGGUUGGGGCGACCCUGGGGAGAUAACCAACCCCCAUGUGGAAUGGAAGCAUGCUUCCAAAACCGAGAGCUACCGCUCUAAGAAACAGAAUUUCUGACCAUCUAGAUCCGGCAACGCCGAUCAACGGACCGAGUUACCCUAGGGAUAACAGCGCAAUCCCCUUUUAGAGGCCCUAUCGACAAGGGGGUUUACGACCUCGAUGUUGGAUCAGGAC
This 470-nucleotide ribosomal RNA is filed under the name Pseudojuloides elongatus (long green wrasse). RNAcentral describes it as "partial large subunit ribosomal RNA". It matches the Rfam family "Bacterial large subunit ribosomal RNA", at positions 1919 to 2543 of the family's 2925-position model. Lineage: Eukaryota; Metazoa; Chordata; Actinopteri; Labriformes; Labridae. The record is from RNAcentral.